Molecule: ribosomal RNA, 448 nt
Filed under: uncultured bacterium
Lineage: Bacteria
Description: bacterial SSU rRNA
Rfam family: Bacterial small subunit ribosomal RNA
Source: RNAcentral
GGCCAGACUCCUACGGGAGGCAGCAGUGGGGAAUAUUGCACAAUGGGGGAAACCCUGAUGCAGCGACGCCGCGUGAGUGAAGAAGUAUUUCGGUACGUAAAGCUCUAUCAGCAGGGAAGAAAAUGACGGUACCUGACUAAGAAGCCCCGGCUAACUACGUGCCAGCAGCCGCGGUAAUACGUAGGGGGCGAGCGUUAUCCGGAUUUACUGGGUGUAAAGGGAGCGUAGACGGUUCUGCAAGUCUGAAGUGAAAGGCCGUGGCUUAACCGCGGAACGGCUUUGGAAACUGUGGAACUGGAGUGCUGGAGAGGCAAGCGGAAUUCCUAGUGUAGCGGUGAAAUGCGUAGAUAUUAGGAGGAACACCAGUGGCGAAGGCGGCUUGCUGGACAGUAACUGACGUUGAGGCUCGAAAGCGUGGGGAGCAAACAGGAUUAGAUACCCCCGUAAA